Molecule: long non-coding RNA, 463 nt
Organism: Alnus glutinosa
Lineage: Eukaryota; Viridiplantae; Streptophyta; Magnoliopsida; Fagales; Betulaceae
Exons: 3
Source: RefSeq, a predicted model, not a curated record
CAAUACACACAGCGGAUUAGUGAUAGCCUUUCUUUGGUGAAGCUAUUCUUUCAAUAGAUAUUAGCAGCAACAAAUGAUGCCUUUACUACUCUAAUAUAUAGGUGGGAGUGGGCACGACGUUAUUCAGUAAGACAACUAGAAUCACAGCACUAGAGUUGGUUUGAAAAUGACUCAACACUCUAUUGUUUAUGCAGCUCAAUACAUAUCAUUAAUUGGUUUGAAAAUGAUACAACACUCGAUCUAUUGUUUAGACAAUGGGAAUCAAAUGCUUAAACAUACAAAAGAGUAUGUCUUUCGUCAAAGAAAGCUGCAUGGUUCUACAAUUAUGCAGCAACUAGCAAACAACUGUAGACGAAACCUUGCUAGGAGGGUGAAGGAAACGAAGCGGAGUUAAAAAAUGAGCAUGGCAAGUCAUCAAAUGUGUCACAGUUGGUGAUGGAGCUUUUGGAAAGACUUGCAUGCU